GGCCUCGUAGCUCAGCUGAUAGCGCUCACACUCUACUGAAGUGUCCACGGAAAUUGUGCGUGGGUUCGAAUCCCCUCGGGGUCA
RNAcentral lists this transfer RNA (84 nucleotides) under Fasciola gigantica. Its description in RNAcentral is "tRNA-Ser". It matches the Rfam family "tRNA". From Rfam's summary of the family: Transfer RNA (tRNA) molecules are approximately 80 nucleotides in length. Their secondary structure includes four short double-helical elements and three loops (D, anti-codon, and T loops). Further hydrogen bonds mediate the characteristic L-shaped molecular structure. tRNAs have two regions of fundamental functional importance: the anti-codon, which is responsible for specific mRNA codon recognition, and the 3' end, to which the tRNAs corresponding amino acid is attached (by aminoacyl-tRNA synthetases). tRNAs cope with the degeneracy of the genetic code in two manners: having more than one tRNA (with a specific anti-codon) for a particular amino acid; and 'wobble' base-pairing, i.e. permitting non-standard base-pairing at the 3rd anti-codon position. Lineage: Eukaryota; Metazoa; Platyhelminthes; Trematoda; Plagiorchiida; Fasciolidae. The record is from RNAcentral.